Phrynosoma platyrhinos (Desert horned lizard) is the source of this 70-nucleotide non-coding RNA. The record is from the annotation of a GenBank genome assembly. Lineage: Eukaryota; Metazoa; Chordata; Lepidosauria; Squamata; Phrynosomatidae.
AGCAGAGGCAUAGUGGUUUCAGCAUUGGACUACAACUCUGGGGACCAGGGUUCAGAUCCCUGCUCGGCUA